Aedes aegypti (yellow fever mosquito) is the source of this 151-nucleotide long non-coding RNA. RefSeq lists it as uncharacterized. The transcript has 3 exons. Lineage: Eukaryota; Metazoa; Arthropoda; Insecta; Diptera; Culicidae. The record is from RefSeq and is a predicted model, not a curated record.
CACGAUUUUCAAAUACACGAGGUAAUUCCACGACGAUUCUGAACGAAGUACAAAAUAAAUACGAUGCCAAACGCGUCGAAAACUACGAAAUUAUUGGAUCGCAAUUAGGUACACAAACGUAAACAAAUUUAGACUUUCACAAUUUGAAGGG